Molecule: long non-coding RNA, 3210 nt
Organism: Culex pipiens pallens (northern house mosquito)
Lineage: Eukaryota; Metazoa; Arthropoda; Insecta; Diptera; Culicidae
Exons: 3
Source: RefSeq, a predicted model, not a curated record
AUGUUCAGAGCAUUUUGUGACACUUCUUAUAAAAAAAUUAAAUCUAAAAUCCAUUUAUUUGUAAUUUAAAACAGGGCUUUGGACCCACGAGCCGUUCCGACCAGGGGGUCGUAAGUUGGCGCCCCUGUAUUUAACCUUAAAACAAGUCGAAAUCCCGAAAUAUGAGCUUUAAAAAUAAUAAUAAUAAUAAUUUAACCUUGUAUUUAACCUGUAUUUAACCUUAAAACAAGUCGAAAUCCCGAAAAAAAAAUAAUAAUAAUAAGCAUCAACAUGACUGGUGCGCACUAUGGCUUGUACUACUCUACAGAGAUGCCUCUUACAAUAACAAAGUUAAAGAAAUGCAAAAAACAGUUUAAAAGGGAAAAUAUCAGUAAAAAUGUAUUUAUUUAAAUCCUCCUCCCUGUGACAAAAUAAAAGAGUAAUCUUAGCUCGAGCUUGAGCCAAAAUCGAUGUAAGUUAUUCAAGGCACCCUGUAAUCUCACGAACAAUGGUUCCACUUUUAAUCGCUCAAUUUGAGUGUACCCACUAUUGGGUACAAAAGGUCACCUUUCUGUCGGACUUCAAAUGAAUCAAAAUUCUUGGUGUACCAAAUUAAACGUGCCAACUCCGACACUUUUGAAAGCGGACGUCCCAACUGUCAUACGUAUAUUUUCAAAACAUGUUCAAUGUUCUUGAAGUUCGUUUAAAAUACUAAAAAAACAUGAAAAACAAUAUUAAUAAAAAAAAAAGUAUUGAGAACUUACAAGAAAUCGAAAGCCGAACCGCAUCUGCCUUCCACGGAGAGAAAAUGCAUCGUUUCGCUUCGGCUCUACGGACGGGAUCGACGGAACGGGACAGCACCGAUUGCUAGUGGCUGCAAACUGCAGCGCAAUUUAUCUGCGAUUUGGGCUACUGCCGUCAAUUUAGGGUGAAGGACAAGUUGGACGGAUUUGUCCCCGCGGCAGGAUGAGCGGACAGCAAAGCAGUGCACGUUCAACUUCCGGAGAUCAGUUUUGGAAUUGCGGCAGGCGACACGGUCUAAUACCACUGACGAACUGACGUGCCACGCGGAAUCCAAUUUUGACCGCAACCCUCUUUUUCUUUUUCUUAUUAUUUUUUUCUUGAGCGAUUGUCAAACUCGUCUGUGCUAAAAGUGUCAAAGAGAACUGUCAUUUUGUGAGUGACGGGUAAAAUCAGCUGUUGGUUCACUUGGUCACACAAAAGUAAACAUGAAGGAAUGGGGAGAAAUUGCAGUGUGAAAAAUUGUUUUAAAAACGAUUCUAGAAAUUUAAGCAACACAACGAACCAGUGCAAGGCGGGCUGCGGCAUUUAAGAGGAAAACAGCGGAGAACAAUGAUUUAAAGAAACAGAUUCAAACAAAAAUAAACAAACAUAAAACGACUAGAAGAGUAAUUUCUUUAUUUCUUGAACGGAAAUGAUUGAUUGAAGAAUUAUUCACGAAUUAUGCACGAUAAGCCCUUGAAACCGAAUCUCUGCUGACCUCCGGUGGCAUGGAUUAUGCACGAUCAGCCCCUAAAGACAAAUCUGCGCUGACUUCCGGUGGCGCUGACAUCUAGUUAGCUUAAACAAAUCUUUAAAACUUAUAUAAACACAUCACACAGUUUACAAUUCCAAAAAUCCAGCGGGAGAAUCAAUUAAACAGCCAACAGGAUUCGUUCUGAGCACUGAUUCACAUUACUUACCUUAAAUUUAGACAAUAAAAGGGUAAAUUAAUAAAAACUAUCUAUGCCAAAUUGACCAUAACGUAAACACAUCAACUUUUGAAAAGCCGCUUUGAUGCUGUUUGUUUACAAACAUUUCUAAGAAUAUUGCUCAUUCGAUAAAAACGAUCAACGUGCGGUCAUCGUGAUUCAAAGGCAUUUCCUUUGCGAUGUUGCAAAAUGAAUUGCCGCAGUUUGAAUUUAGUUUAAGAUGUGCAAUACUUGAAAAUCAGCAGGAGCACCAAGAAAACCAAUGUCAAUAAUAAGAAGAAGGAUUCCGAGAGUCUGAAUGUAGAUGGUGCUAGUGUUUAACGGAAGAUUCAAAUUGUUUUGCGGUCAAGUUUUUUGCAUGAAUAUGUACGUGGUGGCACGUCAGUUCGUCAGUGCUAAUACGUAGAACAACGUGCCAGAUCCAUUUGGGGCGACUAGUUCAACACCGAAAGCUGAGCUCAAACCGGAAAAGGCCACCGCAAGUCGCGUGCCCCGUUGCGUGAAAGCUGCCAACCUGAGUGGUUCCGGCAAAGUUCGUCGAACGCCGCGGCGUCGUACCUCAAAGUAUAGACCUGCCGUAACUGUUCUGGGUAAUGGUUCAGUGACGCCGGUCAGCAGUACAAUUAAUUCUCGUGCUCCACGCCAAGAAGGGCACGGAAGUGGCAGACGAGCAUUCUCCCUCGAAAAAUAACCACGUCUAAGCGCCAGAAAUAGUGUGUACCAGCGAAAUCCGGUUAUUGUGUCAUCCAAGAUUGGCAAGAGGGAAGAGGAACAACUACAGCAGGAGGUGGUCAAGAGCGCGGAGAAAUUGUCGGUCGCUGGACAACAUCUUGCAGGACGUGAGAGCAUGGUCAAGGUCGGGGUCGGUGACCUGAGCCGGUCAAAUCGAGACCAGAGUCAAUAACAAGACGGUUCUGGGAGGUCAUCAACGGAAUCUGAUGAUGCAGGUUGUGAGCCAAGGUCAGAAGCCGGUUGCAGCCAUGAAGACGGUGGCCGGCAGGAUCGAUUGUUCCAGAACAUGGAUGUUUUUUGUGAGAAAAAGUUCAAAUUAAUAAAAAAAACUCCAUACUAUUACUCUCUUCCUCUAGGUUGUAACCACAUCAUUGUGAGUCCCUGUAUGUAUGUUUGCUAUGGUAUGUUGGGUUAGCCAAGACACGCACCAAAUUAGGGAAACUUUGCUUUUGAUCGUCGCCACCUAUGGGAGGAUAGCAGAAACCCUAUUUUGCACCGUUUUGCUCGAAAUAAAUGAUUUUUAAACAAAUUGUGUUCGGUUUGAAAUUAAAGCCAAUUGGGAAGCAUCUCCUGUGUAAAUUUUUUGAAGCUCAAUUUGUCCUUGAAAAUUAACAAGAAAGAGAGCAAAAUGAAAAGUCUUUUGUAUCAAAAUUUGGGAGAAAACUAAGAUUGCCGGUUCGUACAAGCGAUGAAGACUGACUCUCGUUCACUUUGGCAGAACUCGUGACACAGUCCGGAUCGUUUUGGAAGUAUUUUUACGACCGUGAUAUUUAGCGUCCUCUGAUUG